RNAcentral lists this long non-coding RNA (1091 nucleotides) under Junco hyemalis (dark-eyed junco). RNAcentral's name for it is "lncRNA (ENSJHYG00000015235.1)". Lineage: Eukaryota; Metazoa; Chordata; Aves; Passeriformes; Passerellidae. The record is from RNAcentral.
CCAGUGAAAACCCGUGAAAACCAGUAUGGGCCAGUACAGACCAGUAAGGACCAGUAUAAACCAGUAUGGCCCAGUGGAGAUAAGCACAAACCAGUUCAGACCAGUUCAAACCAGUUCAGACCAGUUCAGAGUCUGGACCAGUCCGUCCCAGUUUGCCCCAGUUCCCUCCCAGUUCCCUCCCAGUUCCCUCCCAGUCCCCCCCACAGACGAGUCCCGAACUCUCCAAUUUUGGGAAAAUCCAAACUUUUAUUUUUUCUCCCCCAGAACCCUGGGAAAGAGCGCCGGGAAUUUGGGAUCAUCCCAAAAUUUGGGAUCCCCCCGCCAAAAACGGAGAAUUCCCAGAAAAUCUCGGAUUUAACCCCCCCAAAAAAUCGGGAAUUUCCACAAAAUUUGGGAUUCUCCUCCCCCAAAAAUGGGAAUUCCAAAGAAAUUUGGGGUUCCCCCGUAGAAUUGGGAUUUCACGGAAAAUUCUGGAUUUUUUUUCCAUCCCCAAAAAAUGGGAAUUCUCAGGAAAUUUGGGGAUUUUUCCUGACCAAAAUAAAAAAUUCCCAGAAAAUUUGGGACAUCCCUCAGAAAAUUUAGGACUUUUCCCUCCCAAAAAAAAAAAGAGAAUUCACAGGAAAUUUGGGAUUUCCUCCAGGAAAUUCGGGAUUUCCCUCCCAAAAAUCGGGAAUUCCCACAGAUUUUUGGGAUUCUCCUCCCCUCAAAAAUUGGCAAUUUCCAGGAAAUUUGGGAUCUCCCUCAGGAAAUCUGGGAUUCCACCCAAAAUUCGGGAAUUUGGGGUCUCACCCCAAGGAAUUUUGGGAGCCCCAAAAUUGGGAAUUUCCCCCUCCCCCCUCACCCUGCCCGUCCCAGUAACCCCAGUGGCACCAGGAGGGGGUUCAGGGGGGGGCACUGGGCGGGCUCGGGGCUCUGGGGGGGCCCCCCCGGGCUUUGGGGGGCGCUCAGGGACCCCCAGAGACCCCGCAGGUGCCGCUGGAGCCCCCCCAGCGCUCCCAGCGCUCCCAGUUCGGCCGGCAGCGCUCCCAGUAAGGACAGAACCACCGCGGACUCUGUGGGGGGGAAAAACGGGGUCAGGACCCCCUAAAUGG